This 543-nucleotide long non-coding RNA is filed under the name Monodelphis domestica (gray short-tailed opossum). RNAcentral describes it as "lncRNA (ENSMODG00000031781.2)". Lineage: Eukaryota; Metazoa; Chordata; Mammalia; Didelphimorphia; Didelphidae. The record is from RNAcentral.
UGCCCCUGGGCAGUCUUAAAGCAAAACUUCAACUGUGAUUGGUAGAUGUAAAAUGAGGGGAAGGCACAGGAAGUGAUGCAAAAGAAAGUUUCUUUAAAGGGAGUUACAACUUUCUGAGUGAGUUCUACUUGGAUUUCUACUUGGAAUGGAGGCUGAAGAAGAAUCUGCUGACUGGACCUGAGACCCUAUUCCUGGUGAGGUUGUUCUAAAUCUCUUCCUUUGGACUGACACGUGUGGAUCGUGGCCAGAUAUGAAGAGGAAAUGGAUCUCAUUUUUGGACAAGAUAUACAAAAGAGCCAUUGCACAGGACCAAAGAAAUGAAUCCAUGAAGGAAUGAUGCACUUCUAAGCCAAUACAAAGGACUUUAAUCUAGUGUGAAGACUCAAGGUUGUGAUGCUUAACAUAUGUUAAGAUGUAGGCCUUCCUUAUAUCCACACUCUUUGUGAAAAUACUUACAGCUGAGUAUCCCUAACUUGGCUCCUACCUGGCUCCUAUAAUAUAGUCCCUUUUCUGUCUUUCAUAGUGUGGUAAACUUUCUGUAGU